RNAcentral lists this ribosomal RNA (433 nucleotides) under uncultured bacterium. Its description in RNAcentral is "partial 16S ribosomal RNA". It matches the Rfam family "Bacterial small subunit ribosomal RNA", at positions 29 to 507 of the family's 1533-position model. The record is from RNAcentral.
AGCGAACGCUGGCGGCAGGCCUAACACAUGCAAGUCGAACGAACUCUUCGGAGUUAGUGGCGGACGGGUGUGUAACACGUGGUAACGUUCCUUUAUGUUCGGAAUAACUCAGGGAAACUUGUGCUAAUACCGAAUGUGCCCUUCUGGGGAAAGAUUUAUCGCCUUUAGAGCGGCCCGCGUCUGAUUAGCUAGUUGGUGAGGUAAAGGCUCACCAAGGCGACGAUCAGUAGCUGGUCUGAGAGGAUGAUCAGCCACAUUGGGACUGAGACACGGCCCAAACUCCUACGGGAGGCAGCAGUGGGGAAUCUUGCGCAAUGGGCGAAAGCCUGACGCAGCCAUGCCGCGUGAAUGAUGAAGGUCUUAGGAUUGUAAAAUUCUUUCACCGGGGACGAUAAUGACGGUACCCGGAGAAGAAGCCCCGGCUAACUUCGUG